This is a non-coding RNA of Carica papaya (papaya), 239 nucleotides long. The record is from RefSeq and is a predicted model, not a curated record. NCBI's taxonomy places the organism in Eukaryota, Viridiplantae, Streptophyta, Magnoliopsida, Brassicales, Caricaceae.
CAGGCCGCUUCAGGUACGAAGGGUGGGUCAAGUGGGUCCCCAGUCAUUGAUUGGCAGGGCAGGGCUGUCGCCUUGAAUGCUGGGAGCAAGUCGUCUAGUGCUUCAGCCUUCUUCUUGCCUCUGGAACGUGUUGUAAGGGCAUUAAAACUUCUUCAGACCAGCAGUGAGUCUUAUGUGACUAAGUGGAAGGCAAUAUCCAUUCCUCGCGGUACACUCCAGAUGACCUUUGUCCAUAAAGG